GAUGAACGCUGGCGGCGUGCCUAAUACAUGCAAGUCGAGCGAACAGACGAGGAGCUUGCUCCUCUGACGUUAGCGGCGGACGGGUGAGUAACACGUGGAUAACCUACCUAUAAGACUGGGAUAACUUCGGGAAACCGGAGCUAAUACCGGAUAAUAUAUUGAACCGCAUGGUUCAAUAGUGAAAGACGGUUUUGCUGUCACUUAUAGAUGGAUCCGCGCCGCAUUAGCUAGUUGGUAAGGUAACGGCUUACCAAGGCAACGAUGCGUAGCCGACCUGAGAGGGGGAUCGGCCACCCUGGAACUGAAACACGGUCCAAACUCCAACGGGAGGCAGCAGUAGGGAAUCUUCCGCAAUGGGCGAAAGCCUAACGGAGCAACGCCGCGUGAGUGAUGAAGGUCUUCGGAUCGUAAAACUCUGUUAUUAGGGAAGAACAAAUGUGUAAGUAACUAUGCACGUCUUGACGGUACCUAAUCAGAAAGCCACGGCUAACUACGUG
RNAcentral lists this ribosomal RNA (497 nucleotides) under uncultured bacterium. RNAcentral's name for it is "partial 16S ribosomal RNA". It matches the Rfam family "Bacterial small subunit ribosomal RNA", at positions 28 to 507 of the family's 1533-position model. The record is from RNAcentral.